Pelobates cultripes (western spadefoot toad) is the source of this 209-nucleotide non-coding RNA. The record is from the annotation of a GenBank genome assembly. Lineage: Eukaryota; Metazoa; Chordata; Amphibia; Anura; Pelobatidae.
GUCAAAUAUACAGUAAUUGUGUACUAAACUCAAUUCAAUUCAAUUCUUCUUGGAUCUCUGAACUCUUAUAUCCAAGGCAUUCUUAAUGUAUAUAAUUACUUAAUAUUAAUCAAUAUAAAUUAUCCUUCCUUAGUUUUCUUCCUUAUGUUACCAUUGUUUGUUUAACUUCACCUCGAUAUAAACAAAUUACUCAUUCUUGUGAAUCUAUG